AAUUUGGGACAAUGGGGGAAACCGUGAUCCAGCAAUGCCGCGUGCAGUAUGAAGGCCUUCGGUUUGUAAACUGCUUUUGUACGGAACGAAAAGUCUUGGAUUAAUACCCUGGGAUCAUGUCGGUACCGUAAGAAUAAGCACCGGCUCACUAAGUGCCAGCAUCCGCGGUAAUACGUAGGGUGCAAGCGUUAAUCGGAAUUACUGGGCGUAAAGCGUGCGCAGGCGGUUUUGUAAGACAGUGGUGAAAUCCCCGGGCUCAACCUGGGAACUGCCAUUGUGACUGCAAGGCUGGAGUGCGGCAGAGGGGGAUGGAAUUCCGCGUGUAGCAGUGAAAUGCGUAGAUAUGCGGAGGAACACCGAUGGCGAAGGCAAUCCCCUGGGCCUGCACUGACGCUCAUGCACGAAAGCGUGGGGAGCAAACAGG
This 424-nucleotide ribosomal RNA is filed under the name uncultured bacterium. RNAcentral's name for it is "partial 16S ribosomal RNA". It matches the Rfam family "Bacterial small subunit ribosomal RNA", at positions 360 to 776 of the family's 1533-position model. The record is from RNAcentral.